GAAACUGGUGCUAAUACCGGAUACCCUUCUUUUCUGCCGGGUUAAGGAGGAAAGGUGGCCUCUUCAUGAAAGCUACCGUAUAAGGAUGAGCCUGCGUACCAUUAGCUAGUAGGUGGGGUAAUGGCCCACCUAGGCAACGAUGGUUAGCGGGUCUGAGAGGAUGAUCCGCCACACUGGAACUGGAACACGGACCAGACUCCUACGGGAGGCAGCAGUGAGGAAUAUUGCGCAAUGGGGGAAACCCUGACGCAGCGACGCCGCGUGAGUGAGGAAGGUUUUCGGAUCGUAAAGCUCUGUCAGAAGGGAAGAAGUGUUAUGUGGUUAAUACCCAUGUAAUUUGACGGUACCUUCAGAGGAAGCACCGGCUAACUCCGUGCCAGCAGCCGCGGUAAUACGGAGGGUGCAAGCGUUGUUCGGAAUUACUGGGCGUAAAGGGCGCGUAGGCGGCCUGAUAAGUCAGAUGUGAAAGUCCACGGCUCAACCGUGGAAGUGCAUUUGAAACUGUCAGGCUUGAGUAUCGGANGGGAGUGUGGAAUUCCCGGUGUAAAGGUGAAAU
RNAcentral lists this ribosomal RNA (556 nucleotides) under uncultured bacterium. RNAcentral describes it as "bacterial SSU rRNA". It matches the Rfam family "Bacterial small subunit ribosomal RNA", at positions 153 to 687 of the family's 1533-position model. The record is from RNAcentral.